This 1108-nucleotide long non-coding RNA is filed under the name Coturnix japonica (Japanese quail). RNAcentral's name for it is "lncRNA (ENSCJPG00005006573.1)". The record is from RNAcentral. Lineage: Eukaryota; Metazoa; Chordata; Aves; Galliformes; Phasianidae.
GAGAGUGGGUUGGCCUGAAAAGUGUCUGAAAUGACAGACUCGGAAAGUUACAACCCACAUUGUGAAGUCCAGCUGGAAGCCAGCAAUUAGUGAUGUAACCCAAGCUUGUUACUGUUCAAAAUUCCUGAUCAUGACCUGCAAAACUGGUAGGAAUAGCUGGUAUUCCAGAGAGCUGUGCUACCAUUCAGAGGGGCUUCAACAGACUGGAAAAAAAGGGCUGACAAGAUUCUCAUGAAGUUCAUUGAAGGGAGAUGCAAAGUCCUACAGCAAGGAAGGGUUAACCCCAUCAAUUACUACAGGCUGCCAGCUGCUCAGAAGGCGGGUUUGAAGAGAAGGACCGGGGCAUCCUGGUGGACAAGCUGAACAGGAGCCAGCAAUGCACCUUCACAGCAGGUGAUGGGCUGAAUAAGGAAAAGCCUUGCCAGCAGAUUGCAGGAGUUGACCCUUCCGCUCUACUCAGCCUUUGUGAGAGCAUGUCUGGAGUGCUAAGUCACUUUUGGACUUACUGGGAAAGACAUUCAAACUGGAGAAACUCCAGCGGUGAAGUUGCAGAAGUGACUGCUACAUGUAUUAUAUGAGAAAGUGUUGAGAGACCUGUGGCUCUUCAGCCUGGAUCAGAAAAGGCUCAGGAUGAAUGUGGACUGAUAAUUCUCGAAAGACAAAGCUAUAAUUUUCCCUCUGAUAGAAGAGGGCUAAAAAACUUCUGUGGAUGAAAAUGUAUCCACCCAAAGCAGAAUACCUGCUGGUCCAUGGGAGCUGAAGGCCACUGAUACUGGGAUACUGCCUGACAUUGAACAGAUUCAUCAGCAUGGUAUAACUCUCCUAACUGAAAGGUUUUCAACAGUUCAGGUCAUUUGCCAGCAUGGGGAAGGUUUGCAGUCUGCCUUCUGGGAGAAGAAAGGCUCGUGUGGUUGGUCCACAACAUUUCCAUUCGAAGUAAAAAGGGGGCAACCAGCCCUGGUGAGAGAGAAAAAGAAAACAGAAGCAGCCUAAGGAAUCUCCUGUAAUUAAAAGAAAUCCUGCAGUCGCUGUGAGUUCAAGAGCUCCCACGUUGACACUGCUUGACAACAAAGCAGAGAAAAAGGAAAUCAUGGCUCAGUUCUCAUCU